Molecule: ribosomal RNA, 253 nt
Filed under: uncultured bacterium
Lineage: Bacteria
Description: partial 16S ribosomal RNA
Rfam family: Bacterial small subunit ribosomal RNA
Source: RNAcentral
UACGUAGGGGGCUAGCGUUGUCCGGAAUCAUUGGGCGUAAAGAGCGUGUAGGCUGCUCGGUAAGUCCGCUGUAAAAGUCAAAGGCUCAACCUUUGAAUGUCAGUGGAUACUGCCGGGCUAGAGUCCGGAAGAGGCGAGUGGAACUGCGAGUGUAGAGGUGAAAUUCGUAGAUAUUCGCAAGAACACCAGUGGCGAAGGCGGCUCACUGGCCCGGUACUGACGCUGAGGCACGAAAGUGCGGGGAUCAAACAGG